GGGCGAAAGCCUGACGCAGCCAUGCCGCGUGGAUGAUGAAGGUCUUAGGAUUGUAAAAUCCUUUCACCGGGGACGAUAAUGACGGUACCCGGAGAAGAAGCCCCGGCUAACUUCGUGCCAGCAGCCGCGGUAAUACGAAGGGGGCUAGCGUUGCUCGGAAUUACUGGGCGUAAAGGGAGCGUAGGCGGGUCGUUAAGUUGGGGGUGAAAGCCCGGGGCUCAACCUCGGAAAUGCCUUCAAUACUGGCGACCUUGAGUGUGGGAGAGGUGAGUGGAACUCCGAGUGUAGAGGUGAAAUUCGUAGAUAUUCGGAAGAACACCAGUGGCGAAGGCGACUCACUGGCCCAUUACUGACGCUGAGGCUCGAAAGCGUGGGGAGCAAACAGGAUUAGAUACCCUGGUAGUCCACGCCGUAAACGAUGAGUGCUAGUUGUCGGCAUGCAUGCAUGUCGGUGACG
RNAcentral lists this ribosomal RNA (457 nucleotides) under uncultured bacterium. Its description in RNAcentral is "bacterial SSU rRNA". It matches the Rfam family "Bacterial small subunit ribosomal RNA", at positions 373 to 848 of the family's 1533-position model. The record is from RNAcentral.